Molecule: ribosomal RNA, 565 nt
Filed under: uncultured bacterium
Lineage: Bacteria
Description: bacterial SSU rRNA
Rfam family: Bacterial small subunit ribosomal RNA
Source: RNAcentral
UGAGUAACACGUAGGCAACCUGCCGUAAGACUGGGAUAACUACCGGAAACGGUAGCUAAUACCGGAUACGCAAGUCUCUCGCAUGAGGGGCUUGGGAAAGGCGGAGCAAUCUGUCACUUACGGAUGGGCCUGCGGCGCAUUAGCUAGUUGGUGGGGUAACGGCUCACCAAGGCGACGAUGCGUAGCCGACCUGAGAGGGUGAACGGCCACACUGGGACUGAGACACGGCCCAGACUCCUACGGGAGGCAGCAGUAGGGAAUCUUCCGCAAUGGACGAAAGUCUGACGGAGCAACGCCGCGUGAGUGAUGAAGGUUUUCGGAUCGUAAAGCUCUGUUGCCAGGGAAGAACGUCCGUUAGAGUAACUGCUAACGGAGUGACGGUACCUGAGAAGAAAGCCCCGGCUAACUACGUGCCAGCAGCCGCGGUAAUGCGUAGGGGGCAAGCGUUGUCCGGAAUUAUUGGGCGUAAAGCGCGCGCAGGCGGCUGUUUAAGUCUGGUGUUUAAUCCUGGGGCUCAACCCCGGGUCGCACUGGAAACUGGGCAGCUUGAGUGCAGAAGAGGAGA